CCCUUAGACGUUCUGGGCCGCACGCGCGCUACACCGACGAAGGCAACGAGCUUUCCUUUACCGAAAGGUACGGGUAAUCUUUUGAAACUUCGUCGUGCUGGGGAUAGAUCCUUGCAAUUUUUGAUCUUAAACGAGGAAUGCCUAGUAAGCGCAAGUCAUCAACUUGCGUUGAUUACGUCCCUGCCCUUUGUACACACCGCCCGUCGCUACUACCGAUUGAAUGGUUUAGUGAGGCCUUCGGAUCCGCGACUCGUUUGUGGAGAAGUUGGACAAACUCAGUCAUUUAGAGGAAGUAAAAGUCGUAACA
RNAcentral lists this ribosomal RNA (307 nucleotides) under uncultured eukaryote. Its description in RNAcentral is "partial 18S ribosomal RNA". It matches the Rfam family "Eukaryotic small subunit ribosomal RNA", at positions 1470 to 1796 of the family's 1831-position model. The record is from RNAcentral.